CCGGCCCUAAACGGUGCGCAUUUGCUGUGAGCGGAAUCGACCCCGCUCGUGGCGGAGCUAACGCGUUAAAUGCGCCGCCUGGGGAGUACGGCCGCAAGGUUAAAACUCAAAGAAAUUGACGGGGGCCUGCACAAGCGGUGGAGUAUGUGGCUUAAUUCGAUGCAACGCGAAGAACCUUACCUGGCCUUGACAUGCAAGUGGUAGAAGCCUGAAAGGGUGACGAUCCCGCAAGGGAAGCUUGCACAGGUGC
Molecule: ribosomal RNA, 250 nt
Filed under: uncultured bacterium
Lineage: Bacteria
Description: partial 16S ribosomal RNA
Rfam family: Bacterial small subunit ribosomal RNA
Source: RNAcentral